RNAcentral lists this small RNA (16 nucleotides) under Arabidopsis thaliana (thale cress). Its description in RNAcentral is "ATSL144360". The record is from RNAcentral. Lineage: Eukaryota; Viridiplantae; Streptophyta; Magnoliopsida; Brassicales; Brassicaceae.
UCCCAAUACUUAGACU